UGGGGGCUUGCUGCCGAGAGGCGGCACCCCUCAAAUGCAUCGGUUGGGCCUGUGGGUCGAACUCGAUUGGGCGUUGUAUUAUCCUCGCUUUAACGAGAUGUUCCCCUCUUUGUGCCCCUCCACGACCUGCCUUAUGAGUGGCGGUCAAGCAAACUUGAAAUUCUGACCUCAAAUCAGGUAGGACUACCCGCUGAACUUAA
RNAcentral lists this unclassified non-coding RNA (200 nucleotides) under soil metagenome. RNAcentral's name for it is "partial contains internal transcribed spacer 2 and large subunit ribosomal RNA". The record is from RNAcentral.